GAUGAACGCUGGCGGCGUGCCUAAUACAUGCAAGUAGAACGCUAAAGGCGGAGCUUGCUCUUCUGGAUGAGUUGCGAACGGGUGAGUAACGCGUAGGUAACCUGCCUGGUAGCGGGGGAUAACUUUUGGAAACGAUAGCUAAUACCGCAUAACAACAGUUAUUGCAUGAUAACUGUUUAAAAGUGGCAACUGCUCCACUACCAGAUGGACCUGCGUUGUAUUAGCUAGUUGGUGAGGUAACGGCUCACCAAGGCGACGAUGCAUAGCCGAACUGAGAGGGGGGUCGGCCAGACUGAGACGGAGACAGGGCCCAGAGUGCGACGGGAGGGAGCAGGAGGGAAUCGUCGGCAAGGGACGGAAGUCUGAGCGAGAAACGCCGCGGGAGGAAAGAAGGAUGUCGGAUCGGAAAGCUCGGUUGUAAGAUAAGAACGAGGUUGAGAGUGUAAAGUUCACACUGUGACGGUAUCUGACCAGAAAGGGACGGCUAACUACGUG
Molecule: ribosomal RNA, 495 nt
Filed under: uncultured bacterium
Lineage: Bacteria
Description: partial 16S ribosomal RNA
Rfam family: Bacterial small subunit ribosomal RNA
Source: RNAcentral